AGAAUGAACGCUGGCGGCAUGCCUAACACAUGCAAGUCGAACGAAGGCUUCGGCCUUAGUGGCGCACGGGUGCGUAACGCGUGGGAAUCUACCCUUAGGUUCGGAAUAACAGUUGGAAACGACUGCUAAUACCGGAUGAUGACGUAAGUCCAAAGAUUUAUCGCCUAGGGAUGAGCCCGCGUAGGAUUAGCUAGUUGGUGUGGUAAAGGCGCACCAAGGCGACGAUCCUUAGCUGGUCUGAGAGGAUGAUCAGCCACACUGGGACUGAGACACGGCCCAGACUCCUACGGGAGGCAGCAGUGGGAAUAUUGGACAAUGGGCGAAAGCCUGAUCCAGCAAUGCCGCGUGAGUGAUGAAGGCCUUAGGGUUGUAAAGCUCUUUACCCGGGAUGAUAAUGACAGUACCGGGAGAAUAAGCUCCGGCUAACUCCGUGCCAGCAGCCGC
This 444-nucleotide ribosomal RNA is filed under the name uncultured bacterium. Its description in RNAcentral is "SSU rRNA". It matches the Rfam family "Bacterial small subunit ribosomal RNA", at positions 26 to 518 of the family's 1533-position model. The record is from RNAcentral.